This 430-nucleotide ribosomal RNA is filed under the name bacterium. Its description in RNAcentral is "bacterial SSU rRNA". It matches the Rfam family "Bacterial small subunit ribosomal RNA", at positions 354 to 776 of the family's 1533-position model. The record is from RNAcentral. RNAcentral also lists the same sequence under 1 other name.
GUGGGGAAUCUUCGGCAAUGGGGGCAACCCUGACCGAGCAACGCCGCGUGAGUGAAGAAGGUUUUCGGAUCGUAAAGCUCUGUUGUAAGAGAAGAACGUGUGUGAGAGUGGAAAGUUCACACAGUGACGGUAACUUACCAGAAAGGGACGGCUAACUACGUGCCAGCAGCCGCGGUAAUACGUAGGUCCCGAGCGUUGUCCGGAUUUAUUGGGCGUAAAGCGAGCGCAGGCGGUUUAAUAAGUCUGAAGUUAAAGGCAGUGGCUUAACCAUUGUUCGCUUUGGAAACUGUUAGACUUGAGUGCAGAAGGGGAGAGUGGAAUUCCAUGUGUAGCGGUGAAAUGCGUAGAUAUAUGGAGGAACACCGGUGGCGAAAGCGGCUCUCUGGUCUGUAACUGACGCUGAGGCUCGAAAGCGUGGGGAGCAAACAGG